Molecule: ribosomal RNA, 895 nt
Filed under: uncultured crenarchaeote
Lineage: Archaea; Thermoproteati; Thermoproteota
Description: bacterial SSU rRNA
Rfam family: Archaeal small subunit ribosomal RNA
Source: RNAcentral
CUGGUUGAUCCUGCCGGACCCCACUGCUAUCGGGAUAGGACUAAGACAUGCUAGUCGAGUGGCUCAGCCAAUACGAGCCACGGCAUACAGCUCAGUAACACGUGGCUAAUCUGCCCUUAGGACGAGAACAACCCCGGGAAACUGGGGCUAACUCUCGAUAGGCGAAGAACUCUGGAAUGAGUCUUCACCUAAAUAGUUCGGCGUUAUGCUCGUUGGACCGCCUAAGGAUGAGGCCGCGACCGAUCAGGUUGUUGGUGAGGUAAUGGCUCACCAAGCCUUUAACCGGUGCGGGCCGUGAGAGCGGGAGCCCGGAGAUGGGCACUGAGACAAGGGCCCAGGCCCUACGGGGCGCAGCAGUCGCGAAAACUUUGCAAUACACGAAAGUGUGACAGGGCUAUCCCGAGUGCCAUCCGCUGAGGAAGGCUUUUACCCAGUCUAGAAAGCUGGGGGAAUAAGGAGAGGGCAAGUCUGGUGUCAGCCGCCGCGGUAAUACCAGCUCUCCGAGUGGUGUGGAUGUUUAUUGGGCCUAAAGCAUCCGUAGCUGGCUAAGUUAGUCCCUUGUUAAAUCCACCGAAUUAAUCGUUGGAUCGCGGGGGAUACUGCUUGGCUAGGGGACGAGAGAGGCAGACGGUAUUUUCGGGGUAGGGGUGAAAUCCUAUAAUCCCGGGAAGACCACCAGUGGCGAAGGCUGUCUGCUAGAACGCGCCCGACGGUGAGGGAUGAAAGCUGGGGGAGCGAACCGGAUUAGAUACCCGGGUAGUCCCAGCUGUAAACGAUGCAGGCUAGGUGUUUGGACGGCCACGUGCCGUUCUAGUGCCGCAGGGAAGCUGUUAAGCCUGCCGCCUGGGGAGUACGAUCGCGAGAUUGAAACUUAAAGGAAUUGGCGGGGGAGCAC